Acaromyces ingoldii is the source of this 110-nucleotide non-coding RNA. The record is from the annotation of a RefSeq genome assembly. Lineage: Eukaryota; Fungi; Basidiomycota; Exobasidiomycetes; Exobasidiales; Cryptobasidiaceae.
GUCUCCAUAGCUCAGUUGGGAGAGCGUGCGACUGAAGAUUCAGCCGAAAUACCUUACAAGCUCUUGCUUGUGAAAUCGCAAGGUCACUGGUUCGAACCCGGUUGGGGACA